Rosa chinensis is the source of this 408-nucleotide long non-coding RNA. RefSeq lists it as uncharacterized. The transcript is spliced from 3 exons. The record is from RefSeq and is a predicted model, not a curated record. Lineage: Eukaryota; Viridiplantae; Streptophyta; Magnoliopsida; Rosales; Rosaceae.
GUUCAUUUGGGGAAACUUUCGAGCUUUCGAUUUUGCCCUUAAUAUUUCCUAUGAUUUACAGGGAAAUAGAAAGGUGGAUGGUUCUGGGUUUUGACGACACAGAGGAGACGUGGCUAUCGAUGAGGAAAGGAGAAGAAAUUCAGAGGAAGAAAGAAAAUGGGAGAAAGGAAGAAACAGAAGAAAAGAAAUGAAGAAGAAGAAGAGGGAGACGGGAAAAGGCAGAGAAGAGAAAGUGAACGAGAGAAGGAGAAACCGUAACGUCAAAAGAUGUCAAAAUGGCAUGGUUAAGUUUCUGAUAGGUUACAUAUUUUAAGUAGGCAUUCAGAUCAAUGUUAAUAGGUCGUUAUCGGAUACAUUUGCAAUCUAAUUCUUCAGUUAUUUAUGAAAAUGGUAGCUUUUUGUGAUUGA